UACGUAGGGUGCGAGCGUUAAUCGGAAUUACUGGGCGUAAAGCGUGCGCAGGCGGCUUUGCAAGACAGAGGUGAAAUCCCCGGGCUCAACCUGGGAACUGCCUUUGUGACUGCAUAGCUAGAGUACGGCAGAGGGGGAUGGAAUUCCGCGUGUAGCAGUGAAAUGCGUAGAUAUGCGGAGGAACACCAAUGGCGAAGGCAAUCCCCUGGGCCUGUACUGACGCUCAUGCACGAAAGCGUGGGGAGCAAACAGG
RNAcentral lists this ribosomal RNA (253 nucleotides) under uncultured bacterium. RNAcentral's name for it is "partial 16S ribosomal RNA". It matches the Rfam family "Bacterial small subunit ribosomal RNA", at positions 524 to 776 of the family's 1533-position model. The record is from RNAcentral.